Molecule: ribosomal RNA, 497 nt
Filed under: uncultured bacterium
Lineage: Bacteria
Description: partial 16S ribosomal RNA
Rfam family: Bacterial small subunit ribosomal RNA
Source: RNAcentral
GAUGAACGCUGGCGGCGUGCCUAGUACAUGCAAGUCGAGCGAACAGAUGAGGAGCUUGCUCCUCUGACGUUAGCGGCGGACGGGUGAGUAACACGUGGAUAACCUACCUAUAAGACUGGGAUAACUUCGGGAAACCGGAGCUAAUACCGGAUAAUAUAUUGAACCGCAUGGUUCAAUAGUGAAAGACGGUUUUGCUGUCACUUAUAGAUCGAUCCGCGCCGCAUUAGUUAGUUGGUAAGGUAACGGCUUACCAAGGCAACGAUGCGUAGCCGACCUGAGAGAGUGAUCGGCCACACUGGAACUGAGACACGGUCCAGACUCCUACGGGAGGCAGCAGUAGGGAAUCUUCCGCAAUGGGCGAAAGCCUGACGGAGCAACGCCGCGUGAGUGAUGAAGGUCUUCGGAUCGUAAAACUCUGUUAUUAGGGAAGAACAAAUGUGUAAGUAACUAUGCACGUCUUGACGGUACCUAAUCAGAAAGCCACGGCUAACUACGUG